This 237-nucleotide ribosomal RNA is filed under the name uncultured bacterium. RNAcentral describes it as "partial 16S ribosomal RNA". It matches the Rfam family "Bacterial small subunit ribosomal RNA", at positions 99 to 334 of the family's 1533-position model. The record is from RNAcentral.
CGAACGGGUGAGUAACGCGUGAGGAACCUGCCUCAAAGAGGGGGACAACAGUUGGAAACGACUGCUAAUACCGCAUAAGCCCACGGCUCGGCAUCGAGCAGAGGGAAAAGGAGCAAUCCGCUUUGAGAUGGCCUCGCGUCCGAUUAGCUAGUUGGUGAGGUAACGGCCCACCAAGGCGACGAUCGGUAGCCGGACUGGGAGGUUGAACGGCCACAUUGGGGCUGAGACACGGCCCAG